This 402-nucleotide ribosomal RNA is filed under the name uncultured bacterium. RNAcentral's name for it is "bacterial SSU rRNA". It matches the Rfam family "Bacterial small subunit ribosomal RNA", at positions 355 to 773 of the family's 1533-position model. The record is from RNAcentral.
UGAGGAAUUUUCCACAAUGGGGGCAACCCUGAUGGAGCAACGCCGCGUGCAGGAGGACGCUUUUCGGAGUGUAAACUGCUUUUCCCAGGGACGAGCAAGGACGGUACCUGGGGAAUAAGCCCCGGCUAACUACGUGCCAGCAGCCGCGGUAAUACGUAGGGGACAAGCGUUGUCCGGAGUUACUGGGCGUAAAGCGCCCGCAGGCGGUCCGCUCAGUUUGCACCGACAGCUCCUGGCUUAACUGGGAGAGCGGUGCGAAGACGGGCGGACUUGAGGACCAGAGAGGGACAUGGAACUCCGGGUGUAGUGGUGAAAUGCGUAGAUAUCCGGAAGAACACCAAAGGCGAAGGCAGUGUCCUGGCUGGUACCUGACGCUGAGGGGCGAAAGCUAGGGGAGCGAAC